Molecule: long non-coding RNA, 454 nt
Filed under: Manihot esculenta (cassava)
Lineage: Eukaryota; Viridiplantae; Streptophyta; Magnoliopsida; Malpighiales; Euphorbiaceae
Description: long non-coding RNA (MESC_LNC003747)
Source: RNAcentral
AAACAGCGAACUACGAAACGUCACAACACUGAAGACGGGUCCAGUAUUAUUAAAUUAAAGUUUACUUAUACUCAAGCAUUUGCUUCUGUGGAAAUACAUUGAUGACUUAUAUUUGUGGUAUUGAUUUUUUCAGCGACAAAGGGUGGAGUUCCUAUUGGCACACCGGUAAUUUAUAUUUUUAAUAGUAAAGUUCCAGCCACUGCUACCGAUGGAACCCUAAUUGGAACAACAACAGUCAAAGCCAUACCAAUAUUAUGAAGAAAGGAAGAGUUAACACAACAACCAAGAGUAUAGGAAUCAGAGCGAAGAGUCAAAGCUCGCAAUAUAUAGGCUCAUGCAUUGUUGGAUCUGGAUAUAAUCGCAUUCUUUACCGCUAGAGCCAUGGAAAGCAUCAUCCAAAAGGAUCGAUACUAGAGAGAGGAGAUUGCUCCGCCAGCCAUUAAAUUGAUUUAAC